GACGAACGCUGGCGGCGUGCUUAACACAUGCAAGUCGAACGAGAGCGUAGAGAAAGCUUGCUUUUUCUACAAUCUAGUGGCAAACGGGUGAGUAACGCGUAAACAACCUGCCCUACGGAUGGGGACAACAGCUGGAAACGGCUGCUAAUACCGAAUACGUUCCGAAAGUCGCAUGACUAUCGGAAGAAAGGAUGGCCUCUAUUUAUAAGCUAUCGCCGGAGGAGGGGUUUGCGUCUGAUUAGCUAGUUGGAGGGGUAACGGCCCACCAAGGCGACGAUCAGUAGCCGGUCUGAGAGGAUGAACGGCCACAUUGGAACUGAGACACGGUCCAGACUCCUACAGGAGGCAGAAGUGGGGAAUCUUCCGCAAUGGGCGAAAGCCUGGCGGAGCAACGCCGCGUGAGUGAAGACGGCCUUCGGGUUGUAAAGCUCUGUUAUACGGGACGAAUAAUCUUGUGGUUAAUACCCAUGAGAAGUGACGGUACCGUAAGAGAAAGCCACGGCUAACUACGUG
This 513-nucleotide ribosomal RNA is filed under the name uncultured bacterium. Its description in RNAcentral is "partial 16S ribosomal RNA". It matches the Rfam family "Bacterial small subunit ribosomal RNA", at positions 28 to 507 of the family's 1533-position model. The record is from RNAcentral.